AAGAGCUGCCAAACCCCAAAGCCCGCGGGCAUCCCGCCGGCUGAGCGAGAUCUCUGAACCCCAGCUCGGUCCCGAUUUGCGCCCGUUCCGAUUCGCUUCUCCAGUGCCCGCAUGCAUGGGUCAACCUACGCACAGAAGUCUCUCCUCAGAAGACUUGGUGCUCCAGACCUUUCACCAGCUUUGUUGUCCCUCUUUGGAAACACUCCAGCCAACGAUUCUGCAAAUCUCUGCUGAAUUUUUAGAGGCAUGUAGUUGGUAAGGGAUAAAAUUGAGUGUGAUGUUUUAAUAUACUCCCUAAAUACAGACACAAAUAAUUCUAAUAAUUAGAAUAUUAAAAUAACAAUCUAAAGUGUGUAAAAUAAACCUGGAAAUGGUUAGGUAAAAAUCAAGCAGAAAAGGUGUUUCAGAUGAGUGUGUGUGAGGUAGCCACAUUUUGCUAGCACCAGCCUCUUGCAGGCCAAUCCACAGAAGUCUCUUUUGGCUCAAGUUCUGACUUUGACAUCUUCCACGCAGAACUCCAACCCCAUCCCUGCUAAGGAAAUGAAGCUCCAAGGGGUGCACCUUUUUCAUUCCAGCUCUGUGCAGGCUCUGUGACUCACACACUGCAAUGAAGGCUCUCCGUGCCAUCUGGUCUAAAGAUCCCAGCUCCUCUCCAGCAGAGGGGACAGAGCUGGCCAGGACUGCAGGUCAAGCAGGGCCAAACCACUCGUACCCACGCCUAUCUCAGCAGCACUGCUCGCCCUCCCCACUGCACCUCACAUUCCUGCCUCUCACAGCUACUCAGACAUGAUUUCACUAGAGAAGCACGGCAUGAAUUUCUCACAACAGGUUAUUAAUUACAGGACAGACUUUCUGGUUUAUCAGCAGAGAGUUGAUGGUUCCCCCAGAGAGGGCAGAAAUAUGGGGGGCUUUCUGAGCACAGGUUCAAGCUCCAGAGUGUCGACAGUUGGAGAUAACUGAGUCAUGCACAGGAGCAUUGGCAAGGAGCAGCAGUUCCCAGUCCUGCAUAGACAGAGCUGUCAGAAAAAGGAAGAGAAGUUGAGAUCCACAGGAUCUGGAGCCAAUGGCACGGACAGCUGGAGCUCUGCACCUCUUCCCUGGUUCCCACUACUUUUGGUGGCCUAAGCAGAGCAUGCUGCAUUUGACUAAGGCCACAUGCAGUUCCCUAGAAGUGAUCACAGCAAGGGUUCUGAUGCCUCAGGUUUUGGGGUUUUUUUUAUUUUUCAGAUUCUGUACUGCUUUAGUGUAUAGUUCUGAGCUUAAUAUUAAGGGAUAGUAAGCUGUCUUCACAGAGGAGGGAGACAAAACAAUUCCUUCUCUACCUUGGGACCAAGGACAACUGAUCCAAACCUCAGACCCAAGAGCAUAAACAAUGUGGACUGAAGAGAGAAAAACAAGAAGGAUGGGACUGCAUGGGCUGCAGCUGUAAUUGGACAAUUAACUCCAAUGUGCUAAUGGACCUGAACUUAUAAAAGUGAGAGACCUUGUGACUGGUUGUCCAUUUUGUGACCAUUUUGGGUUCAUCUGGGGUGUAGUCCUAGCUGGGCUCUUGUGCUGCUCAAGGUGGAUCCAUUGAGGCCUUUUAAUAAA
Long non-coding RNA from Passer domesticus (house sparrow), 1590 nucleotides. RefSeq lists it as uncharacterized. The record is from RefSeq and is a predicted model, not a curated record. Lineage: Eukaryota; Metazoa; Chordata; Aves; Passeriformes; Passeridae. The transcript has 2 exons.